RNAcentral lists this ribosomal RNA (253 nucleotides) under uncultured bacterium. Its description in RNAcentral is "partial 16S ribosomal RNA". It matches the Rfam family "Bacterial small subunit ribosomal RNA", at positions 524 to 776 of the family's 1533-position model. The record is from RNAcentral.
UACGUAGGGGGCAAGCGUUGUCCGGAUUUACUGGGCGUAAAGGGCUCGUAGGCGGCCAACUAAGUCGGACGUGAAAUCCCUCAGCUUAACUGGGGAACUGCGUCCGAUACUGGAUGGCUUGGAUUUGGGAGAGGGAUGCGGAAUUCCAGGUGUAGCGGUGAAAUGCGUAGAUAUCUGGAGGAACACCGGUGGCGAAGGCGGCAUCCUGGACCAAUAUUGACGCUGAGGAGCGAAAGCCAGGGGAGCAAACGGG